AACUAGAGGCAAAUUAAUCAUAUGUGAAUGUGACUUUGUUUUGCCUUCAUGCAUUGGCAGUUAGUCGUUAUACGAGGAGGGAAGAUCUGAUUGAGGCCAUACAGUUCAGUGCUAUGGCAGGGCAUCCGUGUCCCGUGCCUAUAGAAUGGGAAUACCAGGAAUGAUUGUUGCUUAGUUCUGCUCCAGAUGUCGCACAGACAAGAACUAACUUGAACUCGUUAAUGUGGAGUAUCGGCAUCGCUGCUUAAACGGAAAAAGGGUACUUAGUGCUUAUAUCGCUGCGAUAGUGAAGUGAAUGGAGAAAUUUCAACAGUUGUGAAAGUAGUGAUAGCAAUUGAGAAGAUUGCCAGAAGUUGA
Aedes aegypti (yellow fever mosquito) is the source of this 357-nucleotide long non-coding RNA. RefSeq lists it as uncharacterized. Lineage: Eukaryota; Metazoa; Arthropoda; Insecta; Diptera; Culicidae. The record is from RefSeq and is a predicted model, not a curated record. The transcript is spliced from 2 exons.